GGGGUUGUAGCUCAGUGGUAGAGCACUUGCCUAGCUAGCAUGCAUGGGGCACUGGGUUGGAGCCUCAGCACUACA
Molecule: transfer RNA, 75 nt
Filed under: Marmota monax (woodchuck)
Lineage: Eukaryota; Metazoa; Chordata; Mammalia; Rodentia; Sciuridae
Description: tRNA.Undet
Source: RNAcentral